This 380-nucleotide ribosomal RNA is filed under the name uncultured eukaryote. RNAcentral describes it as "partial 18S ribosomal RNA". It matches the Rfam family "Eukaryotic small subunit ribosomal RNA", at positions 592 to 976 of the family's 1831-position model. The record is from RNAcentral.
CAAUAGCGUAUAUUAAUGUUGUUGCAGUUAAAAAGCUCGUAGUUGGAUUUCUGGUGGGAGCGGCCGGUCCGCCGUAAGGUGUGUACUUGGUUGUCUCCUGUCAUCCUUGUGGGAACUGCUCUGGCAUUAAGUUGACGGGGUUAGGGAACACAUCGUUUACUGUGAAAAAAUUAGAGUGUUUAAAGCAGGCUUAUGCCGUUGAAUACAUUAGCAUGGAAUAAUAAGAUAGGACUUUGGCGUCUAUUUUGUUGGUUUGCACACCAAGGUAAUGAUUAAUAGGGAUAGUUGGGGGUAUUCGUAUUUAAUUGUCAGAGGUGAAAUUCUUGGAUUUAUGAAAGACGAACUUCUGCGAAAGCAUUUACCAAAGAUGUUUUCAUUAA